Molecule: ribosomal RNA, 931 nt
Filed under: Leuconostoc citreum
Lineage: Bacteria; Bacillati; Bacillota; Bacilli; Lactobacillales; Lactobacillaceae
Description: bacterial SSU rRNA
Rfam family: Bacterial small subunit ribosomal RNA
Source: RNAcentral
GGAAACAGAUGCUAAUACCGAAUAAAACUUAGUAUCGCAUGAUAUAAAGUUAAAAGGCGCUACGGCGUCACCUAGAGAUGGAUCCGCGGUGCAUUAGUUAGUUGGUGGGGUAAAGGCUUACCAAGACAAUGAUGCAUAGCCGAGUUGAGAGACUGAUCGGCCACAUUGGGACUGAGACACGGCCCAAACUCCUACGGGAGGCUGCAGUAGGGAAUCUUCCACAAUGGGCGCAAGCCUGAUGGAGCAACGCCGCGUGUGUGAUGAAGGCUUUCGGGUCGUAAAGCACUGUUGUAUGGGAAGAAAUGCUAAAAUAGGGAAUGAUUUUAGUUUGACGGUACCAUACCAGAAAGGGACGGCUAAAUACGUGCCAGCAGCCGCGGUAAUACGUAUGUCCCGAGCGUUAUCCGGAUUUAUUGGGCGUAAAGCGAGCGCAGACGGUUGAUUAAGUCUGAUGUGAAAGCCCGGAGCUCAACUCCGGAAUGGCAUUGGAAACUGGUUAACUUGAGUGUUGUAGAGGUAAGUGGAACUCCAUGUGUAGCGGUGGAAUGCGUAGAUAUAUGGAAGAACACCAGUGGCGAAGGCGGCUUACUGGACAACAACUGACGUUGAGGCUCGAAAGUGUGGGUAGCAAACAGGAUUAGAUACCCUGGUAGUCCACACCGUAAACGAUGAAUACUAGGUGUUAGGAGGUUUCCGCCUCUUAGUGCCGAAGCUAACGCAUUAAGUAUUCCGCCUGGGGAGUACGACCGCAAGGUUGAAACUCAAAGGAAUUGACGGGGACCCGCACAAGCGGUGGAGCAUGUGGUUUAAUUCGAAGCAACGCGAAGAACCUUACCAGGUCUUGACAUCCUUUGAAGCUUUUAGAGAUAGAAGUGUUCUCUUCGGAGACAAAGUGACAGGUGGUGCAUGGUCGUCGUCAGCUCGUGUCGUG